UAGGGAAUAUUGGUCAAUGGGCGGAAGCCUGAACCAGCCAUGCCGCGUGCAGGAUGAAAGCCCAAAGGGUUGUAAACUGCUUUUGUAUGGGAAUAAAAAAGUUCUUGCGAGGACUCUUGAAUGUACCAUAAGAAUAAGCACCGGCUAACUCCGUGCCAGCAGCCGCGGUAAGACGGAGGGUGCAAGCGUUAUCCGGAUUUACUGGGUUUAAAGGGUGCGUAGGCGGCUUUUUAAGUUAGUGGUGAAAGUCUUGGCGCUUAACGUUAGAAGUGCCACUGAUACUGGGGAGCUUGAGUCAAGAAGAGGUAAGCAGAAUUCAUAGUGUAGCAGUGAAAUGCUUAGAUACUAUGAGGAAUACCAACAGCGCAGGCAGCUUACUGGUCUUGUACUGACGCUGAGGCACGAAAGCGUGGGGAGCAAACAGGAUUAGAUACCCCCGUAGUCC
This 445-nucleotide ribosomal RNA is filed under the name uncultured prokaryote. RNAcentral describes it as "bacterial SSU rRNA". It matches the Rfam family "Bacterial small subunit ribosomal RNA", at positions 355 to 796 of the family's 1533-position model. The record is from RNAcentral.